This 389-nucleotide ribosomal RNA is filed under the name uncultured crenarchaeote. RNAcentral describes it as "bacterial SSU rRNA". It matches the Rfam family "Archaeal small subunit ribosomal RNA", at positions 297 to 688 of the family's 1478-position model. Lineage: Archaea; Thermoproteati; Thermoproteota. The record is from RNAcentral.
UGGGUACUGAGACAAGGGCCCAGGCCCUACGGGGCGCAGCAGUCGCGAAAACUUUGCAAUACACGAAAGUGUGACAGGGCUAUCCCGAGUGCCAUCCGCUGAGGAAGGCUUUUACCCAGUCUAGAAAGCUGGGGGAAUAAGGAGAGGGCAAGUCUGGUGUCAGCCGCCGCGGUAAUACCAGCUCUCCGAGUGGUGUGGAUGUUUAUUGGGCCUAAAGCAUCCGUAGCUGGCUAAGUUAGUCCCUUGUUAAAUCCACCGAAUUAAUCGUUGGAUUGCGGGGGAUACUGCUUGGCUAGGGGACGAGAGAGGCAGACGGUAUUUUCGGGGUAGGGGUGAAAUCUUAUAAUCCCGGGAAGACCACCAGUGGCGAAGGCUGUCUGCUAGAACGC